UGGGGAAUAUUGCACAAUGGGGGAAACCCUGAUGCAGCGACGCCGCGUGAGCGAAGAAGGUUUUCGAAUCGUAAAGCUCUGUCCUAUGGGAAGAUAAUGACGGUACCAUAGGAGGAAGCCCCGGCUAACUACGUGCCAGCAGCCGCGGUAAUACGUAGGGGGCAAGCGUUGUCCGGAAUCACUGGGCGAAAAGGGUUCGCAGGCGGAAAUGCAAGUCAGUUGUGAAAGGCAGCGGCUCAACCUCUGUAAGCAAUUGAAACUGUCUUUCUUGAGAUGUGGAGAGGCAAGUGAAAUUCCUAGUGUAGCGGUGAAAUGCGUAGAUAUUAGGAAGAAUACCGGUUGCAAAGGCGACUUGCUGGACACAAACUGACGCAGAGGAACGAAAGCGUGGGUAGCAAACAGG
Molecule: ribosomal RNA, 403 nt
Filed under: Fusobacteriota bacterium
Lineage: Bacteria; Fusobacteriati; Fusobacteriota
Description: Fusobacteria bacterium partial 16S ribosomal RNA
Rfam family: Bacterial small subunit ribosomal RNA
Source: RNAcentral